This 613-nucleotide ribosomal RNA is filed under the name Silusida marginella. RNAcentral's name for it is "partial 16S ribosomal RNA". It matches the Rfam family "Bacterial large subunit ribosomal RNA", at positions 1819 to 2712 of the family's 2925-position model. The record is from RNAcentral. Lineage: Eukaryota; Metazoa; Arthropoda; Insecta; Coleoptera; Staphylinidae.
GUCUUUUUGAUUUUAAUUUAAAGUCUGGCCUGCCCAAUGAGUAGUUUAAUGGCCGCAGUAUUUUGACUGUGCAAAGGUAGCAUAAUCAUUAGUUUCUUAAUUAGGAACUGGAAUGAAAGGUUAAACGAGAAAAUAACUGUCUCUUAAUGAAUUAUUUAGAAUUUUAUUUUUUAGUUAAAAAGCUAAAAUAAAUUUAAAAGACGAGAAGACCCUAUAGAGUUUAAUAAUUUUAUUUUAUAAAUAAUUAUUUAGUUUAUAAAAGUUAAUUUUUAUAUUUAAUAUUAUUUUAUUGGGGUGAUAAAAAAAUUUAUAAAACUUUUUUUUUAUAAAAACAUUAAUAUAUGAAUUUUUGAUCCAUUAAUUAUGAUUAUAAGAUUAAGUUACCUUAGGGAUAACAGCGUAAUUUUUUUUAAGAGUUCAAAUCGAUAAAAGAGUUUGCGACCUCGAUGUUGGAUUAAAAUUAAAUUUUGGUGUAGAAGCUAAAAUAUUUAGGUCUGUUCGACCUUUAAAAUUUUACAUGAUCUGAGUUUAAACCGGUGUAAGCCAGGUUGGUUUCUAUCUUUAAAUAUAAAGAUUUUUUAGUACGAAAGGACCAAAAAUCUAUAAUAUUUAU